UACGUAGGGGGCAAGCGUUAUCCGGAUUUACUGGGUGUAAAGGGAGCGUAGACGGAGCAGCAAGUCUGAUGUGAAAGGCGGGGGCUCAACCCCCGGACUGCAUUGGAAACUGCUGAUCUUGAGUACCGGAGGGGUAAGCGGAAUUCCUAGUGUAGCGGUGAAAUGCGUAGAUAUUAGGAGGAACACCAGUGGCGAAGGCGGCUUACUGGACGGUAACUGACGUUGAGGCUCGAAAGCGUGGGGAGCAAACAGG
RNAcentral lists this ribosomal RNA (253 nucleotides) under uncultured bacterium. Its description in RNAcentral is "partial 16S ribosomal RNA". It matches the Rfam family "Bacterial small subunit ribosomal RNA", at positions 524 to 776 of the family's 1533-position model. The record is from RNAcentral.